AAAAUAAUCAACAGUACUGUAACGUGACGGUACCCAAAUUGCACCUAUUUUGACAGUUUUUUCAUCUACGUUUUUUUAUGAUGAAGACAAAAAUGUCCAUUCUGUGUUUAUUUUGUAGCCCUAUCCUUCUUUAUUAUAAAGGUACACCAAUUUGAUUUUUAUUCCAUAUGGAAUCAUAGAAAAAUUGGUCUAAACUGACCUCCAAACCAUCAAUGAUUCUGAAAUUAGGAGUACCCAAAUUGCUUCCAUGCUUAAAUUCACAUAGUCAAAAGUCUAAUAACAGAGCUUUUGUUUAAU
RNAcentral lists this long non-coding RNA (297 nucleotides) under Mytilus galloprovincialis (Mediterranean mussel). Lineage: Eukaryota; Metazoa; Mollusca; Bivalvia; Mytilida; Mytilidae. The record is from RNAcentral.